GGAGGCAGCAGUGGGGAAUAUUGGACAAUGGGCGAAAGCCUGAUCCAGCCAUGCCGCGUGUGUGAAGAAGGUCUUCGGAUUGUAAAGCACUUUAAGUUGGGAGGAAAGGCAUUAACCUAAUACGUUAGUGUUUUGACGUUACCGACAGAAUAAGCACCGGCUAACUUCGUGCCAGCAGCCGCGGUAAU
This 188-nucleotide ribosomal RNA is filed under the name uncultured Pseudomonas sp. Its description in RNAcentral is "partial 16S ribosomal RNA". It matches the Rfam family "Bacterial small subunit ribosomal RNA", at positions 344 to 524 of the family's 1533-position model. The record is from RNAcentral. Lineage: Bacteria; Pseudomonadati; Pseudomonadota; Gammaproteobacteria; Pseudomonadales; Pseudomonadaceae.